RNAcentral lists this ribosomal RNA (465 nucleotides) under uncultured Klebsiella sp. RNAcentral describes it as "bacterial SSU rRNA". It matches the Rfam family "Bacterial small subunit ribosomal RNA", at positions 338 to 795 of the family's 1533-position model. Lineage: Bacteria; Pseudomonadati; Pseudomonadota; Gammaproteobacteria; Enterobacterales; Enterobacteriaceae. The record is from RNAcentral.
CCUACGGGGGGCAGCAGUGGGGAAUAUUGCACAAUGGGCGCAAGCCUGAUGCAGCCAUGCCGCGUGUGUGAAGAAGGCCUUCGGGUUGUAAAGCACUUUCAGCGGGGAGGAAGGCGUUAAGGUUAAUAACCUUGGCGAUUGACGUUACCCGCAGAAGAAGCACCGGCUAACUCCGUGCCAGCAGCCGCGGUAAUACGGAGGGUGCAAGCGUUAAUCGGAAUUACUGGGCGUAAAGCGCACGCAGGCGGUCUGUCAAGUCGGAUGUGAAACCCCCGGGCUCAACCUGGGAACUGCAUUCGAAACUGGCAGGCUAGAGUCUUGUAGAGGGGGGUAGAAUUCCAGGUGUAGCGGUGAAAUGCGUAGAGAUCUGGAGGAAUACCGGUGGCGAAGGCGGCCCCCUGGACAAAGACUGACGCUCAGGUGCGAAAGCGUGGGGAGCAAACAGGAUUAGAUACCCGAGUAGUC